UUAGAGCUUAGAGUCAAAGAGUAAAUGCAAGUUCAUAAAGAGGGAAUUAAGGAAAGCCAUGGAAGGCAGGUGGUUAUGCCUAGUAAUUGGGAGUGCUGGCACACCCCUAACCGGCCUGUUAGCCCAAUCGUAGGAGUUAGGAUCCAUUGUGGAUCAGGUUCAGACCUGGGCAAUAAUAUGGAUACUGCUAGGCCAUGAGCCUUAACUCACAUACAUAGAAGGGGUGAGGGUAUGAGAAAUUCACAACAAACAGCAGAUGCAAAGAGUAAGUAGUAUACUCCUUACAGAACAUGAACAUCAAAGCAGACAAGAGUGUAGCAACUAUAAUGUAAACACAUAGGGAAGAAGAUCAAAUAAAAAUUGAGACAUACCAGUUUCAGGGAAAAAAAUAAGUGAAAGCAGGAGUCUCGUAAGCCAAAUUGCAAGCAAACAGUACAAAAAGACCUUAGAAGAGAGUAGAGUAUUGAAAGAGUAUCGUAAAUGAGAGUGUGAGAAUAUUGAAUUUGAAGUGUUCAAUAAUAUAUGUACUGUGUAUAGAAGGGUCGUGCCCCUUUUAUAGUGCAGAAAAACAAGUAAGAAAGGUAAGGAAAUAUUCAUUGAAAU
RNAcentral lists this long non-coding RNA (603 nucleotides) under Nicotiana benthamiana. Its description in RNAcentral is "long non-coding RNA (NBEN_LNC020795)". The record is from RNAcentral. Lineage: Eukaryota; Viridiplantae; Streptophyta; Magnoliopsida; Solanales; Solanaceae.